Molecule: long non-coding RNA, 540 nt
Filed under: Betta splendens (Siamese fighting fish)
Lineage: Eukaryota; Metazoa; Chordata; Actinopteri; Anabantiformes; Osphronemidae
Description: lncRNA (ENSBSLG00000001517.1)
Source: RNAcentral
UUCAGUUUCCGCUGUAGCGAGUUAUGGCUCAUAGAAGAGGAGAAAAACAUUUUCGCUCAGGAGUUGGAGCAGAAAACUUGCAGUUUUCGGACCAUUGUGGAUGUACCGUGUCUUUUGGACCGAAACGGUUUACUGGAUUAUAUUCCCUGGACCAUAACGGACAGAAUGACACCAAACACAACGUGAAUGGACGAUGUAUGGGGUUCAGACGUCAAACGUCUGCUCAAACCCUGGGAGAGAACACUGCAUCGCCACCCAGGGCCAGCCGCCACUAUUACAGUUCUUCCGCGAGGACCCGUUGAAGAGUGAGGAAAUGAGGAGAAAGACAAAAAGAGAGUAAAUGUGAAAAAUGCAAUCUCUCAGACAGAAAACAGCGACUAUAAAGGCAGCUCAAUCAGGUGAGGAUGUAAAGCAUGUAAGUGUAGGCAGGAAGACAAACUGUGAUGCGAGGUUGUCAAAAAAAACAAACAAAUAAUUGUUAUCAAAAUUCAGCAAAAUAUAAUCAUAAGAACAAUAAACGCAGUACAGGAUGGUGGAGCA